Molecule: ribosomal RNA, 253 nt
Filed under: uncultured bacterium
Lineage: Bacteria
Description: partial 16S ribosomal RNA
Rfam family: Bacterial small subunit ribosomal RNA
Source: RNAcentral
UACGUAGGGUGCGAGCGUUGUCCGGAAUUACUGGGCGUAAAGAGCUCGUAGGUGGUUUGUCGCGUUGUUCGUGAAAUCUCACGGCUUAACUGUGAGCGUGCGGGCGAUACGGGCAGACUUGAGUACUGCAGGGGAGACUGGAAUUCCUGGUGUAGCGGUGGAAUGCGCAGAUAUCAGGAGGAACACCGGUGGCGAAGGCAGCUCUCUGGGACGGUACUGACGCUGAGACGCGAAAGCGUGGGGAGCGAACAGG